UAUGGUAAUUGUGCCGCCGCGGUAAUACGGAGGGUGCGAGCGUUAAUCGGAAUAACUGGGCGUAAAGGGCACGCAGGCGGUGACUUAAGUGAGGUGUGAAAGCCCCGGGCUUAACCUGGGAAUUGCAUUUCAUACUGGGUCGCUAGAGUACUUUAGGGAGGGGUAGAAUUCCACGUGUAGCGGUGAAAUGCGUAGAGAUGUGGAGGAAUACCGAAGGCGAAGGCAGCCCCUUGGGAAUGUACUGACGCUCAUGUGCGAAAGCGUGGGGAGCAAACAGG
RNAcentral lists this ribosomal RNA (278 nucleotides) under Haemophilus parainfluenzae ATCC 33392. RNAcentral describes it as "partial 16S ribosomal RNA". It matches the Rfam family "Bacterial small subunit ribosomal RNA", at positions 493 to 776 of the family's 1533-position model. Lineage: Bacteria; Pseudomonadati; Pseudomonadota; Gammaproteobacteria; Pasteurellales; Pasteurellaceae. The record is from RNAcentral.